RNAcentral lists this ribosomal RNA (1102 nucleotides) under Microbacterium aurum. RNAcentral describes it as "bacterial SSU rRNA". It matches the Rfam family "Bacterial small subunit ribosomal RNA", at positions 220 to 1318 of the family's 1533-position model. Lineage: Bacteria; Bacillati; Actinomycetota; Actinomycetes; Micrococcales; Microbacteriaceae. The record is from RNAcentral.
GGAUGAGCUCGCGGCCGCUUAUCAGCUUGUUGGUGAGGUAACGGCUCACACCAAGGCGUCGACGGGUCUAGCCGGCCUGAGAGGGUGCCGGCCACACUGGGACUGAGACACGGCCCAGACUCCCGGGAGGCAGCAGUGGGGAUAUUGCACAAUGGGCGCAAGCCUGAUGCAGCAACGCCGCGUGAGGGACGACGGCCUUCGGGUUGUAAACCUCUUUUAGCAGGGAAGAAGCGAAAUGACGGUACCUGCAGAAAAAGCACCGGCUAACUACGUGCAGCAGCCGCGGUAAUACGUAGGUGCAAGCGUUAUCCGGAAUUAUUGGGCGUAAAGAGCUCGUAGGCGGUUUGUCGCGUCUNCUGUGAAAACUGGAGGCUCAACCUCCAGCCUGCAGUGGGUACGGGCAGACUAGAGUGCGGUAGGGGAGAUUGGAAUUCCUGGUGUAGCGGUGGAAUGCGCAGAUAUCAGGAGGAACACCGAUGGCGAAAAGGGCAUGAUCUCUGGGCCGUAACUGACGCUGAGGAGCGAAAGGAGUGGGGAGCAAACAGGCUUAGGAUACCCUGGUAGGCCACCCCGUAAACGUUGGGAACUAGUUGUGGGGUCCAUUCCACGGAUUCCGUGACGCAGCUAACGCAUUAAGUUCCCCGCCUGGGGAGUACGCCGCAAGGCUAAAACUCAAAGGAAUUGACGGGGACCCGCACAAGCGGCGGAGCAUGCGGAUGUAAUUCGAUGCAACGCGAAGAACCUUACCAAGGCUUGACAUAUACGAGAACGGGCCAAUGAAAUGGUCAACUCUUUGGACACUCGUAAACAGGUGGUCAUGGUUGUCGUCAGCUCGUGUCGUGAGAUGUUGGGUUAAGAUCCCGCAACGAGCGCAACCCUCGUUCUAUGUUGCCAGCAGCGUAAUGGUGUCGGAACUCAUGGAAUACUGCCGGGGUCAACUCGGAGGAAGGUGGGGAUGACGUCAAAUCAUCAUGCCCCUUAUGCGGCUUGGGCUUCACGCAUGCUACAAUGGCCGGUACAAAGGGCUUGCAAUACCGUAAGUGGAGCGAAUCCCACAAAGGAGCCGGUCCCAGUUCGAUGAUUGAGGUCUGCAACUCGACCU